RNAcentral lists this ribosomal RNA (744 nucleotides) under uncultured archaeon. RNAcentral's name for it is "bacterial SSU rRNA". It matches the Rfam family "Archaeal small subunit ribosomal RNA", at positions 1 to 746 of the family's 1478-position model. The record is from RNAcentral.
UUCCGGUUGAUCCUGCCGGAGGCCAUUGCUAUCGGAGUCCGAUUUAGCCAUGCUAGUUGCACGAGUUUAGACUCGUAGCAUAUAGCUCAGUAACACGUGGCCAAACUACCCUACAGACCGCGAUAACCUCGGGAAACUGAGGCCAAUAGCGGAUACAACUCUCAUGCUGGAGUGCCGAGAGUUGGAAACGUUCCGGCGCUGUAGGAUGCGGCUGCGGCCGAUUAGGUAGACGGUGGGGUAACGGCCCACCGUGCCAGUAAUCGGUACGGGUGAUGAGAGUCAGAGCCCGGAGACGGAAUCUGAGACAAGAUUCCGGGCCCUACGGGGCGCAGCAGGCGCGAAACCUUUACACUGCACGGAAGUGCGAUAGGGGAAUCCCAAGUGCGAGGGCAUAUUAGCCCUCGCUUUUGUUGACUCUAAGGUGGUCAACGAAUAAGAGCUGGGCAAGACCGGUGCCAGCCGCCGCGGUAAUACCGGCAGCUCAAGUGAUGUCCCAUAUUAUUGGGCCUAAAGCGUCCGUAGCUGGCCACCCAAGUCCAUCGGGAAAUCCACCUGCCCGACGGGUGGGUGUCCGGUGGAAACUGGCUGGCUUGGAACCGGAAGGCUCAGAGAGUACGUCCGGGGUAGGAGUGAAAUCCCGUAAUCCCGGACGGACUACCGAUGGCGAAAGCACUCUGAGAAGACGGCUUCGACAGUGAGGGACGAAAGCUAGGGUCUCAAACCGGAUUAGAUACCCGGGUAGUC